CCUACGGGUGGCAGCAGUGGGGAAUAUUGGACAAUGGGGGAAACCCUGAUCCAGCGACGCCGCGUGAGUGAAGAAGUACUUCGGUACGUAAAGCCCUAUCAGCAGGAAAGAAAAUGACGGUACCUGACUAAGAAGCCCUGGCUAACUACGUGCCAGCAGCCGCGGUAAUACGUAGGGGGCAAGCGUUAUCCGGAUUUACUGGGUGUAAAGGGAGCGGAGACGGCAGCGCAAGGCUGGAGUGAAAUGCCGGGGUCCAACCCCGGAACUGCACUGGAAACUGGGAGGCUGGAGUGCAGGAGAGGGGAGCGGAAUUCCUGGUGUAGAGGUGAAAUGCGUAGAUAUCAGGAGGAACACCGGCGGCGAAGGCGGCUUACUGGACUGUAACUGACGUUGAGGCUCGAAGGCGUGGGGAGCAAACAGGAUUAGAUACCCGAGUAGUC
RNAcentral lists this ribosomal RNA (440 nucleotides) under uncultured bacterium. Its description in RNAcentral is "partial 16S ribosomal RNA". It matches the Rfam family "Bacterial small subunit ribosomal RNA", at positions 338 to 795 of the family's 1533-position model. The record is from RNAcentral.